UUCAGUAAAGAUGAGAGGAGGGGUUCUCACCAUGUUGGUCAGGCUGGUCUCAAAAUUCCUGACCUCAAGUGAUCCACUGUCCUCAGCGUCCCGAAGUACUGCGAUUACAGAAUGAGCCUCCACACCCGGCCUCCAAGUGCCUUUGUUUUAUCUGAUUUGAAAAAGAAGCAUGUCUUCUUCUUAAUAGGCUUCUAGGUGCUGCAUUUUUCACAAAUUGGAGGUUUGUGGAACCCUGCAUAAAUCAAGUCUAUCAGCACCAUUUUUCUAACAACAUAUGCUCACUUGUCAUCUCUGUGUCAGCAUUUUUUAGCAAUAUUUUAAAAUUAAGGUUGGAGGUGAGGCCUGGCAGGAGGCAUUUGGAAUCCAGGGGCAGAUCCCUCAUGAAUGGCUUGGUGCCAUUCUCUCAAAAGUGAGUUCUCACUCUUAGUUCCAGAGAGAACUGACUGUGAAAGAACCCGGCACCUCCCUCCCUCUCUUUUCCUUUCUCUCUCCUGCUCCCCUUCACUUUCUGCCAUGAGUGGAAGCUUUCCGGGGCCCUCACCAGAAGCAGAUGCCAGCACAAUGCUUCUUGGACAGCCUGCAACACUGUAAGCCAAAUAAACCUAUUUUCUAUGUAAGUGACCCAGCCUCAGGUGAUUAUUUUAUUGCAAUGCAAAAUGGACUAAGAUACAUAGCCUGUAGGUGUCCAAGCCAUGCUUUUCUUAUCUAAACAUGCGAAGAAACAAGUAGCCCCCUGCAGUCAUAACCACUCAUUAUAAACCUCCAAAACCGCAGCCCUCACUGGUGACUUUUCAGCCACUGCACAUCCAAAGAUCAUGCUCUCUCAUAGCACAAAGGCAUCCCUGGUACUCCCAAAGCUAAAGAAACCAGAGAACUGACUCAUAAGAAACAAUAAAUCUUUCUGAGUUUCUCUUCAAAGGGUUUAGCCUGUUAACUUCCUUAUCCUUUGUUCUCAAACUCAACGUUCUUGUUCUUCCUUGCCGCUACUCACCGUAAACAGCCUUCCCUUUCACAUGAGCUCUAAUCAGUAACUCACAUCUGUUCCCUUGGUUACCUGUACCCAUUGUUCCCCCGAAACUGCACGUCUCACUCAAUCCACCUCUGUACCUCACGUCCCCCUCCCCUGCUAUAUUUAGGAAAAUAUGUACAAGUAGCCAAUCAGGUCAGCUCAAAUUGUGCAGUCCGACCCCAGCCCAUGUGGGUGUGGCACAGUUCUGUGUGCACUUGUGAUCUUGAUUGACGUGAGUGACACCCUUCUGCAGAAGUAAAUUGCCUUGCUGAGAGGAUUAAACUUUUGCCUGAGUGCUGGUUUUACUUUGCAGCACCAAGCAUUUAUUCCUGGAGUGUUUUAUAUCCAACAUCACUGCAAAAGAGAACAGAGCUCUAGACCCAAGAGAAACCUCCCCUCAACUCUUGGGACUUCAUAUGGAAGGCAGAAGACCCCCAAAAGGGGAUGUGUGACACCUUUUUCUAUGUUCUUAAGGGGUCUCAGGGUUGCUGGAAGUCUUCUCUAGAUUCCUUCACGUGGUCUUGAAGAUCGCAAAUGAAGGAGGAGCAGAGUGGAAGGAAAUUGAAAACUAAGUCUUAGAGGAGCCAAACUGGGGCAAUUUCAAGUUUUCCAAAAGGCAAAAAUCAUACCAACAAGAAAGGCACCACACAGAGGGACCAAAUAUAUCAAUUGUUUUAAAAGGGGGGUUGCUCAGUCAACUGAAAACAAAUUCUCAGACAGAGGAUGCAAAAAGAGAAGAAAGCUGGGUGUGGUGGCUCACACCUGUAAUCCCAACACUUUGGAAGGCUGAGGCGGAGGUACCACCACUUGAGCCUGGGAGUUCAGGACCAGCCUGAGCAACAUAGUGAGACUUUGUCUUCACAAAAUGUUUUAAAAAUUAGCUGGGUGUGGUGAUAUGUUCCUGCAGUGCCAAAUACAACGGGAGGCUGAAGGGGGAGGAUUUCCUGAGCCCAGAGGUCAGGGCUGCAGAGAACCACGAUAGUGACACUCUACUCCAGUCUGGGCAACAGAGUAAGACUCUGUCUAAAAAAAAUAAGAAAUAAAAAAAAUCAGCUUUUUUCCCCCACACACAACACAACCAUAAUACUAGCUUUUAAUUAAGCUGAGUUCUGAUCACUGAGUUCAUUAAUUAAUUAAUUUUUAAAAUU
Molecule: non-coding RNA, 2157 nt
Organism: Chlorocebus sabaeus (green monkey)
Lineage: Eukaryota; Metazoa; Chordata; Mammalia; Primates; Cercopithecidae
Source: RefSeq, a predicted model, not a curated record